This 72-nucleotide transfer RNA is filed under the name Chlamydia pneumoniae TW-183. RNAcentral describes it as "tRNA-Gln". It matches the Rfam family "tRNA". Rfam says of the family: Transfer RNA (tRNA) molecules are approximately 80 nucleotides in length. Lineage: Bacteria; Pseudomonadati; Chlamydiota; Chlamydiia; Chlamydiales; Chlamydiaceae. The record is from RNAcentral.
GGGGUGUGGCCAAGCGGUAAGGCAGCGGUUUUUGGUACCGUGCAUCGGAGGUUCGAAUCCUUCCACCCCAGA